AAAGAACAUGUGCUAAACAUCAUGUCGGGAAGCUUAGCGCAUUAAGAGGAACAGCGUGCUGGCUACGGACAAAUGGAAAUAGUUUGCAAUUCGUUAUAGGGAAUGGGGAGGGCCAUCCGGAAACGCAUCAGUUUAGAGCUUUCACAUCUUCUUGUCACUAUCCUGUGGAUCAGAUAUGGUAUACAUCACAGCAUAGCACCCUGUUAAUAUAUACCGACCUGCCCUUCCCCAUUCGCAUUUAUGAAGCUGGGCAGAGAAGGAAGCGAAGGACUGGCAAGUCCCACUGCAUCACACUUCCUCUUAAAGGAACAGAGGAAGAAGUUUGGAUUACAGUAUAAAAGUCAGGUAUGGAAGUACAGGGGGAAGAAAGGAGGAAGGGAGGCCUGACAGGUGAGUUUUCUGCUGCCCUUUAAAAGUUGGAAGUGCACACGCACGCACACGCACCGCUUCCCACAUGCCCUUCUCCCUGGUGCCCUUUGCCCUUCCUUCCUCGGAUUCCUCGGCAGCUUGUGUGUCUUCCCUUGUCCUUCCAUCAGCACUUGGAGGGAAAGGUGACUGUUCCUGAUACGGGACAUUAGGUGUUUGUUUAAUAGAGAAAAAAGGCUCCACCCUGACUUCCAGGUGUCAUUGAAACAUGCUGACUGGAAGAAGGGGUCCAAAUGGCUCCUUUUACUUCAAAGUGAAGUUCCAGAUGUUGACACAGACUUUGACUUGCACAGAAGAGUGUUCUGGGAUUUGGUGAGUCUCCUUCCAUACAGCCCCGAAUCACCUCAUAUUGCCAUCUCCCCAAUUGAUUUUCAUGUCUGGCUCAGCCAAGAAACCAGAUGUCAGUUGCAAUGACAUCAUGUUCUCAAAACAUUAAAGGAGUCAAACCCUUUGUCUUGGAUCAC
Molecule: long non-coding RNA, 890 nt
Filed under: Salvator merianae (Argentine black and white tegu)
Lineage: Eukaryota; Metazoa; Chordata; Lepidosauria; Squamata; Teiidae
Description: lncRNA (ENSSMRG00000006167.1)
Source: RNAcentral